CUCACACAAAAGAAGCACCAGGGCAUAGAUUAAACCCUCUGGAGAGAUGGGAGUUUUCCAAAUGGCCUCGUAAAGGGAGAAACGCGUGUUGAGAAGAGAAAGCUCCUUUGUUUUGGAUAGCAGCUGUAAUCUCCACAUCAAGCACAUGUUGGAAUUCGUCAGCUACGAGUCUGAGCUCCCAUUGCCAGAUGGAGGGGGAUCACACUGGCCUAAUGUGGGUGUGUACCUUCAGGCAUAAUAAGACCAGACAUCACAAAAUUUAAGCUGGACAAAUUCGUAUUAGAAACAAGAUACACA
This is a long non-coding RNA of Chroicocephalus ridibundus (black-headed gull), 297 nucleotides long. RefSeq lists it as uncharacterized. NCBI's taxonomy places the organism in Eukaryota, Metazoa, Chordata, Aves, Charadriiformes, Laridae. The record is from RefSeq and is a predicted model, not a curated record. The transcript has 3 exons.